GCCCUAGUAGCUCAGCGCCCAGAGCGCCGGUCUUGUAAACCGGACGUCGGAGGUUAAACUCCUCCCUAGCGCUC
This 74-nucleotide transfer RNA is filed under the name Macropodus chinensis (roundtail paradisefish). RNAcentral's name for it is "tRNA-Thr". It matches the Rfam family "tRNA". Rfam says of the family: Transfer RNA (tRNA) molecules are approximately 80 nucleotides in length. The record is from RNAcentral. Lineage: Eukaryota; Metazoa; Chordata; Actinopteri; Anabantiformes; Osphronemidae.